RNAcentral lists this ribosomal RNA (446 nucleotides) under uncultured bacterium. Its description in RNAcentral is "bacterial SSU rRNA". It matches the Rfam family "Bacterial small subunit ribosomal RNA", at positions 335 to 795 of the family's 1533-position model. The record is from RNAcentral.
ACUCCUACGGGAGGCAGCAGUGGGGAAUAUUGCGCAAUGGGGGGAACCCUGACGCAGCGACGCCGCGUGAGCGACGAAGGCCUUCGGGUCGUAAAGCUCUGUUCUUGGGGACGAAUAAAAUGACGGUACCCAAGAAGAAAGCCCCGGCUAACUACGUGCCAGCAGCCGCGGUAAUACGUAGGGGGCAAGCGUUGUCCGGAAUUAUUGGGCGUAAAGGGCGUGUAGGCGGCCAUGUAUGUCAGGUGUGAAAGGCCUCGGCUUAACCGAGGCAUUGCACAUGAAACUGCAUGGCUUGAGUGCAGGAGAGGGAAGUGGAAUUCCUAGUGUAGCGGUGAAAUGCGUAGAUAUUAGGAGGAACACCAGUGGCGAAGGCGACUUCCUGGACUGUAACUGACGCUGAGGCGCGAAAGCGUGGGUAGCAAACAGGAUUAGAUACCCUGGUAGUC